ACCGAGUUUACAACUCCCAAACCCAUGUGAACAUACCUAUUGUUGCUUCGGCGGGAUUGCCCCGGGCGCCUCGUGUGCCCCGGAUCAGGCGCCCGCCUAGGAAACUUAACUCUUGUUUUAUUUUGGAAUCUUCUGAGUAGUUUUUACAAAUAAAUAAAAACUUUCAACAACGGAUCUCUUGGUUCUGGCAUCGAUGAAGAACGCAGCGAAAUGCGAUAAGUAAUGUGAAUUGCAGAAUUCAGUGAAUCAUCGAAUCUUUGAACGCACAUUGCGCCCGCCAGUAUUCUGGCGGGCAUGCCUGUCUGAGCGUCAUUUCAACCCUCAUGCCCCUAGGGCGUGGUGUUGGGGAUCGGCCAAAGCCCGCGAGGGACGGCCGGCCCCUAAAUCUAGUGGCGGACCCGUCGUGGCCUCCUCUGCGAAGUAGUGAUAUUCCGCAUCGGAGAGCGACGAGCCCCUGCCGUUAAACCCCCAACUUUCCAAGGUUGACCUCAGAUCAGGUAGGAAUACCCGC
Molecule: ribosomal RNA, 511 nt
Filed under: Bionectriaceae sp. MS139
Lineage: Eukaryota; Fungi; Ascomycota; Sordariomycetes; Hypocreales; Bionectriaceae
Description: eukaryotic LSU rRNA
Rfam family: 5.8S ribosomal RNA (bases 159-312)
Source: RNAcentral